AAGGCCUUUUGGUUGUAAAGCACUUUAAGCGAGGAGGAGGCUACUUAGAUUAAUACUCUAGGAUAGUGGACGUUACUCGCAGAAUAAGCACCGGCUAACUCUGUGCCAGCAGCCGCGGUAAUACAGAGGGUGCGAGCGUUAAUCGGAUUUACUGGGCGUAAAGCGUGCGUAGGCGGCUUUUUUAAGUCGGAUGUGAAAUCCCUGAGCUUAACUUAGGAAUUGCAUUCGAUACUGGGAAGCUAGAGUAUGGGAGAGGAUGGUAGAAUUCCAGGU
Molecule: ribosomal RNA, 273 nt
Filed under: uncultured Acinetobacter sp.
Lineage: Bacteria; Pseudomonadati; Pseudomonadota; Gammaproteobacteria; Moraxellales; Moraxellaceae
Description: partial 16S ribosomal RNA
Rfam family: Bacterial small subunit ribosomal RNA
Source: RNAcentral